RNAcentral lists this long non-coding RNA (211 nucleotides) under Cicer arietinum (chickpea). RNAcentral describes it as "long non-coding RNA (CARI_LNC003542)". The record is from RNAcentral. Lineage: Eukaryota; Viridiplantae; Streptophyta; Magnoliopsida; Fabales; Fabaceae.
UUGUUGUGAAAAUCGUUUAAGUCAAAUGAGUAUUAAAAAUGGGGAAUCUUUUAAUAUCUGCAUUUGCUUAACGAUUGUUGUGGAUGAAGUCUGUGUAUGCUCAUGCAUUUCAUUUUGGUAAAUUGUGCUGACCCGUGAUAGGUGGCACCUCGGUAAACAGUACUGACCCGUGAUAGGUGGUACGUUUACGGUUUACGUUUAGUAAGUUGUG